This is a long non-coding RNA of Gopherus evgoodei (Goodes thornscrub tortoise), 311 nucleotides long. RefSeq lists it as uncharacterized. The record is from RefSeq and is a predicted model, not a curated record. Lineage: Eukaryota; Metazoa; Chordata; Testudines; Testudinidae. The transcript is spliced from 2 exons.
GUGGUUGCCCAACACAGAUGGGUGGCUGAGCUGGGACUGUGGCCCUGCUGUCCCGACGACCAGCCCCUUGCUCUAAUUCUGUCCCCCUGUCUUUAAGGUCACAGAGGGAAGAUGAACCUGCCCCUUUCCUGUCUUCCUUGCACCACUGUGAUGGAUGGAAAUGAAUCCCAUCUCUGCACCUCCUUUGUGUCUAUAUCAAGGCAAAAUGAACCUCCUUCCUCUCCCUUUCCACACCACGGGGAGAAGAUAAACUUGCCCCUUGAUUCUGCAAUUUGUAGCUUUUCAGGGUAAAAUAAAACCAUUAAAUCUCA